GGUGAGGUAACGGCUCACCAAGUCCACGAUGGAUAGGGGUUCUGAGAGGAAGGUCCCCCACACUGGUACUGAGACACGGACCAGACUCCUACGGGAGGCAGCAGUGAGGAAUAUUGGUCAAUGGGCGAGAGCCUGAACCAGCCAAGUCGCGUGAAGGAUGAAGGAUCUAUGGUUUGUAAACUUCUUUUAUAUGGGAAUAAAGUGAGGAACGUGUUCCUUUUUGUAUGUACCAUAUGAAUAAGCAUCGGCUAACUCCGUGCCAGCAGCCGCGGUAAUACGGAGGAUGCGAGCGUUAUCCGGAUUUAUUGGGUUUAAAGGGUGCGUAGGUGGUUAAUUAAGUCAGCGGUGAAAGUUUGUGGCUCAACCAUAAAAUUGCCGUUGAAACUGGUUGACUUGAGUAUAUUUGAGGUAGGCGGAAUGCGUGGUGUAGCGGUGAAAUGCAUAGAUAUCACGCAGAACUCCGAUUGCGAAGGCAGCUUACUAAACUAUAACUGACACUGAAGCACGAAAGCGUGGGGAUCAAACAGGAUUAGAUACCCUGGUAGUCCACGCAGUAAACGAUGAUUACUAGCUGUUUGCGAUACACAGUAAGCGGCACAGCGAAAGCGUUAAGUAAUCCACCUGGGGAGUACGCCGGCAACGGUGAAACUCAAAGGAAUUGACGG
RNAcentral lists this ribosomal RNA (665 nucleotides) under uncultured bacterium. RNAcentral's name for it is "bacterial SSU rRNA". It matches the Rfam family "Bacterial small subunit ribosomal RNA", at positions 251 to 916 of the family's 1533-position model. The record is from RNAcentral.